UGAGCGCAGAUGCGAAAUUCGAAGUGGAGUUCGCUAAAAAUGGGCUGGUGCACAUAAGGAGCUGCACCAAAAACAAAUAUUUGAAACGAACUCAUAACCCUUCCAUCACCAGAAGAGAAUAUGAGGAGUACUGGAUUACUAUAACCUCCGAUAAGCCGGAAGAAGACACAAAAAAGGAGUCAUGCACAUUGUUCAAGCCUAUCUUGGAAGACUCUUUACAUGGAAAUUAUCGAUUUGUCCAUGCUCAAUCUGGACACUAUUUAUGCUUAUGGCCAUUGGCUACAGGGUAUCUCAAACGUGGCGUGUUGGCAAACCCCAAUCGUGCUGCAGAUAAUCAGAAUGAUAUCUUCAAAGUUAUUGAUUGGGAGUCGUUGGUGAUUCUGCCUAAGUUCGUUGCUUUCAAAGGAAAAAAUAAUAUGUUCCUUGGUCUUACUGAAGCUGGGGAACAGCGUUUAAAAUUCUCGUGUGGGGAUGUUGGUGAUCACCAUGUGACAAUGGAGGUUUUCUAUAGGAACAAUGGUGACAUCCGGAUCAAGCCGGUUUCUUCCGAUAGGUUCUGGAGGAGUAGCCCGAAUCGUAUUCGGGUGGAUUCUGAUGAAAAUAAAUGUAAGGAUAAGGACACUCAUUUUCGUGCCUUCAAAGUCGACGGUAAGACCAUAGCUCUGCGCAACGUCGGCAACGAAAAGUUCUGCGACUUGAAGGAAACGACCGGUGACCUUGCUGCAACCGUCCCUUCGAUUACUAAAGAAACCUACCUAUGUGUUCUAGAGCCUGUGUUGUCCAGGACAAUUUAUAACCUCCGAUACGACACAGAAAAUGCUCGGGUCUAUAACGAAAAGGUCCUUGUUGUGGCCCAGAAUUCCGCCACUAACCGUACCACCCAAGCCAAGACACUCGAUGUGAAACUUUCCUAUAGUGAGACCAAUACCAGUACUUGGCUAGCUCAUUUUACACCAGGUCUUGAAACCAAAGCCACCUUCCAAGUCGGGGUUCCAUUCAUCGGUGAAACAGGUGUCGAAAUAUCUUCCAAAUACGAAACAGGAAUCAAGUGGGGAAAGACCAAGACGAUGACCACCGACAAGGAAGUUACGCACCAAGUUAGUGUGCCGCCCAUGACUAAGGUGACGGUGUAUCUUAAGAUGACCUAUGGCACGUGCGAUGUUCCCUUCGUGUUCACUCAAAAAGACACUCUUUAUAAUGGGACCUUUGUUGUAACUGAUGUCCUAGGUAACACUUUCACUGGUACUAAUUAUUACAACAUCCAAUGUGAUAGCAAAGAACCCCUCACCUCUGGAAAUCAGAACAUCAACGUAUUUUGCGAAAUAUGUAAAAUAAAAAUUUAAAAAAAUUAUUGUAAAAAUUUUCAUUUUAAAGUUUUAAUAUAAACUAUUAUUCCCACUCAUUUUUUUUAGUUUUAUUUUUUUAUUUAGAAAUUAUGCAGCAACAUUUUACUUUUUUUUUAAUUUUCGUUUCAAAUUAUAUUACAUAACAUUUUACAUGAUAUUUAAUGAUUAAGUUAAUGGUUUCAAUAAUAGAAGGAUACCGUCAAUAGUUUGGGGAUAUAAUUAUAGAAUUUUGGAAGUUUGAGGAUUAAUUUAGAAUGAAAAUCAUAAUUGGAGGAUUUCUAGUACAAUUAAUUCUAAUUCUUAAAGGAUUUUUGUGUUUUUGCUAUGUUUUGAUGUUUUUUUAAUUUUCAAUUUUGGUCCUACGUAAUUAGAGUUUAUCAUGGGUCAAGUCGGGCUAGUGCAAAAAAGUCAAUCCCCUUUUUUGGGCUUAGGUCCAACCCUGCUCGAAAAUGAGUUUAAAAUUUUAUCCAAACCUAGCCCAAAUAAAAAAUGCUAAACUCAGGCUCGGCCAGCAUUAAUUUUUUUAGAUUAUUUUUAUAUAAAAAUAAAUUUAAAAAAUAUAAUAAAACAAAUAGACUAAAAAUAUUAAAAUAAACAUUUUUCAAUAAAUUAAAAAUACAGAUAAAAAAUAUUUAUAUUUAAAUAACACUAAUAUAGUUGCAACUUAACGAAAAAAUACUUCUAGAAUAAUAGUAAAAUUAAUAAUAAAAUAAGAGUUAUAGAAUAUUCAAACUAUUAUUCUUUGAAGUCCAUACAUAAUAGGUAUAAAAAUAUUUUCCCACUUAAUUAAUAUUUUAUUACUAAUCUUUUUUCGACUUAAAUUAAAACAUUCUUAUUUACUUGCUAUAAGAACCUUAAAUGGUAUAAUACUGUUUUAAGCCUUAACCCUUUAUUUAAUGAAAGAAUUACAUUUUGGUCCAUCCCAAAUAUUAAUAAGUGAAUUAAAUUAAUAAGUUGUUUUAACACAAUUUUUAGAUUUAACCCCAAUUUUUUUAAUUAUAAGAUUAAAAUAAAAACUUUUUAAAACCCAAGGGGAAUUAAUUGAAAUUUUACAAAAUUUAAGUACAGGCCCUGCUACCCCUAAUUCACCUCUGGUUGGAGAGAAACUUGCAUUAAGCUAUCAAAUAUAAAUGUCAGUACCAACAGCUUAAAGAAACAAGUGAUUAAGAGGUAAAACAAUCAAACAUUUUAAUUCAAACAAUCAAACUCUAGGUAAGAUGUUAGUAUAAAAACUUAUUUUAUUUAAACUUAAUUAGAAAGUAAAUAAAUAUUAAUAUAAAAAUUAAUACUUAUUAUUUUUAAAUGAUAAUACAAAGUGUUGAGGCAAAAACAAAUUCGAACCUUGAAGAUGGAAUUAUUGGUAGGGGCAACCACAAAUCUUUAACAUGGACCAAAAGACAUAUAUGAAAGAUACAAAAAAUAUAUCCUUAGUGAUUAAGAGAUAGAACAGGCUUACACAACUUUACCUCAUUAUGUAAAAUCUAGUAUAACGCUAAUGAUAAUGAGAAAAGUAAAAGGAACUUUUUCCCCUUGGUUCAUCAAAUGUUUUGGUCCAUAUUAGUGCUUGAACUUGAUAAAUUUUUUCAAUUUUAAUCUAUGCGAUGAUGUGAUACUUUUAGUUGCGUAAUGUUAUCACCUACUUUUUUAUAAAAAUUAUUAUUCUUUGAAGUGAUGACAUGACACAAUAUAAAUACUACAUUUUCACAUUAAUCUAAAUUGGAAUGAAAAAGAUUCCAAAAGGAAUGUGUACAAAAGAAAUUUUAAAAAAAUUACCUUUUAUCCAAAAGGAAAAGCAAUAGGAAUGAGGCGUCAUUGAUCGAUGGUGGAACACACGUUUCCAGCUUUGGAUUUUGUUCUUUCUUAUGGUCCCUAGAAAUUAGGUGAUGAGCCUUUUUUUUUCCUUCCACUUGGAUUAAUUAUUUGCCACACUAACGGGGUAUGUGUCUUAAUUUCACAAGAUUAAAAAAUUAUCAUUUUUUUUUGUAAAACACUGUUAUAAAAUUUUAAAAAAUAGACAUGAUGAUGUUUUAAUUUCACUUACAAAAUUAAAAUAAUUUCGUUAAUAUCUAUGCUAUAUAAAUCUCAAUUUAAUUAUUAAAUUAUUUUUAUUUUAAUAAAAUAUAAAUAAUAAAUUAAGGUUAUUUUUAUCUUUUUAUACAAAAAUUGAAAAAAUAUAUAUGUUUAUCAUAAGAUUUGAAUUCAAGACAUCAAAUGUAUAAUAUCUCAAUUUUAUCAUUUCAAUCAAAAUAAUAUUUAUUUUUUAUAUCAAUUCAUAAUAAAUUAAAUUAUUAUUAUGAAAUAAUCAAAGGAAAGAACAAACUACAGAGAAAAUAUUAAUACAAGUUUUGAUUCAUCUAUUUAUAGACCUUCUAAUGUAAUACAAUCCCUUAAAUUACAAAGAAAAAAAUAGAGGUUUAAUUACAAUAUAAAACGCUACCAUAAUAAAGUAAUAUUUAUAACAAUUACAUAAUUAUUGCACUAAUAUAAUACAUGUGUGUCAUAAUUUAAUAUUAAAUAAUAUUUUCCUAUUUUAAAGAAAAAAAAAAGACUACGCUCGUGGCAUAACUUUUAUGUUUUUCUUUUUGGGAUAAAUAUUAAAACUACAUAUGAACUAUGAUUUAAUGUGAAAUUAUAUACACGAACUUUGUUUUUGUUCAAUUUUAUAAAUGAAAUUUUGAUUUGAUCCCAUUCUUGUAAAUUAUUAGCACAAUUAUUAAUAUAACAUCAUUUUAUAUUUAUAUAUUGCAUACAUAAAUAAUUAUAUUUAUCUAAUAUUAAAAUAAAUUAAUGUAUUUAUUUCUUCAAAUAUAUAUGAUUAAAUCAAAAUUAAAAUUUUAAAUAUGCAAUUGAGUUACAAUUAAAAUUGCACAUAUAUAAUUACAUCAAAUUAAAUUUCAUAUAUAAUAUUAUACAUAUAAUUUUCAAAUUUAUCCUUUUCAUUUUCUGCAAAAAGAUUCUCACAAAUUUUAAUUUGAUGUUUCUGAUUAUUUUAAUUGUACGUCUCCUCCCACUUUCAAUAUUCUAUUAGUAUAAUAAUGAUGAAUUAAAUUUUUUAUAAGUAAUUUAACCAAAAUUAUGUUUAAUUAGAAUUCAGAGACUAAACUAUAAGGUCCAAUCAUUAUAAAUUAGAAAAUGAAUUAAGUACUUAAAUUGCAAUUAAUCUGAGGUCUAAAACAACAAUUAGACCAUUUAAAAAAUGUGAUAGUAGACGGUUGGAUUAGCCAUGUCAUUAGCUUAAUUAAAUUAAGAUUUAAUUAAUUUAAAACACGUUUAAUUAAAACUAAUUAAUUAGGUGAUAGAGCCUGUUUUUUACUUCCCUAUGGCCCCAAGAAAUUAGGUGAUAGAGCCUGCUUUUGACUUCCACUUGGAUUAAUUAUUUGCCAAAUAAAUUACAUAAUUAUUGCACUAAUAUAGUAUGUGUGUCAUGUUAGUCAUAUUUUAAUAUUAAAUAAUAUUUUUAUUUUUUAAAUAAUAAUAAAAAAAAGACUAGGCUUGUGGCAUGACUUUUCUGCAAAAAGAUUUCUCCCACUUUCGACAUUCUAUUCAUAUAAUGAUAAUAACAGUAUAGUCAAUUUUUAUUAAAAAGUUCACUUUUAAGACCAACAAUGUUUAAAUUUAUUAUUUUAUUCUUCCUAAUUCCUAUGGUUUCCAAUUGUAUUAUAAUAUGAAACAUUUAAAUAAUUUAAUAUAAUUAAACAUAAAGUAUUUUACAAUUUUAAAUAUAAUGCUACGUGAUAUUUAAAUAAUUAAUAUAUGAAUUUUAAUUAAUUUUUUAAAUAGUUAAUAUAAAUAACAAAUUUGAUAUUUUUACUUCAAAAUCGACGAGUCAUAUAUUAAAAAUAUUUAAAUCCUAAUAAUUCUAAUUUUGAUUACUAUUUCAUAGUAAUUGAUUUUUAGUGAAGGAAUGAUAUAAUAGUUACUAUGAGAUAAAAUAAGAUUAUAUUGGGAGAAUGAAUUAUCCCAAAGAGAUUAAAGAUAUCCUAUGAGGGUAACACACUUAUUAUAAGGUCAUUAGACGAGCACUAAUUAAGUAGCUUUUAUUAUAAUUUGUAAUAAAGUAGAGCUCAAACACAAUAUUGUAGUGGAAUGACUUCGUAACUAAGUAAGUUUACAAUCAAUAAGAAAAAAGCUGGAACUUAAUUAUAAAUUGUUUGAGCCCUAAUUAUAUAUGUCAAAUCGGUUCCUCUGCUAGCUCGUUGAAACUAGAAACGAAUUGCAUGUAGAAUCAAAUGACAAAAAAUAGAUAGAAAUGAUAGAGUUAGAGAAAUGGGUCACAUUCGCAAAUGAAUGUGUUUUCUCACUGAGUAAUUAGAAAUGAUUUGAGAAUUAAUUUAUGUCUUUCGAAUAUUAUUUAAUUAAAUAAUUAAAGUUCGAAAAUGAAAUUAAACUAAUUAGUAAUUGUGGAUCCAUUGAAUAUGAAAAUUAAAUAUAUUUCCUUAGAGAUUCUUUUACGAUAAAGUUAGCAUGACUUUAACAAAAUUAGAACUGGAUUGAGAAAAUUAUUUAUUUUAAAAACUAAUUCAUCUAAUUAAAUUAAUUAAUAAAUAAUAUUUAUUUUGGGUUAGAUUAAAUUAUAAAGUGUUGCUUUAAAAGUAUAAUAAAUACAUAUAAUUUGAUCCAAUACAGGAGAUGUCCGAAUUUCCCUCAUAAUACAUGAGAGGGGUGACACACUCUAGUAAAAUUUACUGGGGUUGUCGCCCCACCUCUUUUAGUUCAACUAGAAGACUAGUUUUUCUAUUGAAUAAAUAGUUUUUAUGUAAUACUAAUUCAACCAGGAUUCUCCUAUCUAUCUCUGUAAAUAGAUAGUACUAAUAGAGCUAUUUACAACAGUUCAGAUAAGUUUUCAAUAUUUCUAUUCUGUAAGAAAAUAGUAAGAAUUUAUUUUCUAAGUAUAAAUUUUGUUUUCUGGGAAUUAUAAUUCUGUCAGUUUCUAUUUAGAGAGAAUUACUUUCCUACUGAAAGUAAUAAAUCAUUUUUGGUUCCGUGUUUGGUUCGUGACUAUUUGAGCCUACACUCGAAACAAUUUAUAGUACAAGAAUAGCGGAGAAGGUCAUUCGGUUGAAAGUUAGGAAUGUCUAGGAUCCAGUUAGCAUAAACCACAAUUCCUUUUUAGGAAAGAAUUAUUUCUACAAAUGUCAAUCCCAAAUAUAAUAAGUCAAUUUGUAACAGUUUAUUUUUUAGUGGUGUCAAAAACAGUGAUUUUAGGACCACAACUCCAACGUACCGGUUCGUAAAUAUUAAAUAAAUAAUAUUUACGAGGUCAUUAAUGUCGUAUUAAAAUUUGAUUAUAAAAUUUUAACGUUUAGUUAGUUAGUUAAGUAAAAUGGACUAAAUCGUAAAAAAUGUGAAAGUAGAAUUCCAUUAAUUAAAAGGGUUAAAUGUCAAUUAAAGGGUAAGGUAAGGCAUCUAAAUGGUACCAUUUAGGAGGUUAAUGGACGGUUUUGAGACUUUAUUAGUUCAAUUUUAAGUGAAAUUUUAAAAGGGCAAUUAGGUAAUUUAUUAAAUAAACUUUAAUUACAUUGAAAUUAAAUAUGAAACAUAUCAUCUUUCAUCUUCAUCAUCCCUUUUGCCGAAAACCCUAGAGCAGAAAAGAGAAAAAUUUAUUAGCAUUGCUCCAUUAUUUGGUAAGAGUUUUGCUACCGGUUUUUAGUAAUUUUUAUGUUUUUGAGUUCGUAUUAGUUUAAUAUAACUAGCCUAAGGAUCAAUUCAUAGAACUGUUAAGCUUGAUAAAUUUUUCCAUUGAAGAUUUGAGUUGUUCUUGAUUGAUUAUGGAGGAUUUUGAAGCUUUGUUAUUAAAUUUGAUUAUUUUGUAAGUGAUUUUGAUGAUUUUGAUGUUUAGGGAUUAAAUUGCUAAAGUGAUAAAACUGAAGGAUUUGAUGUGAAAUGGGCCGUAAUGAGAGCUAUUAACUUUCUGUUGGUAUGGGUUCUUAAUAAAAAUGGGUAAAUUGCAUGAUUAAGGCCUAGGGACUAAAUUAAAUAAAAAUAAAAAGUUGAGGGUAAUUUUGUAAAUUGUCAAAAAGGACCCAAUUUCAUAAAUAGCCUGAGUUCCUGUUGAUUUAGUUAAUUGAAUGAAAUUAUUAUUUUAUAUCAAGAACGUGUUGAAAAUCGAGGAAAGGAAAAAAUAGCUAAUUAGUCCAUGCACUUCCGUUGUUGCUACAAAUCAAUCUAGUAAGUUCAUUAAGUUAAAGUUUAAUACAUUUUUCUUGAUUGCUUGUUAUAUAUGUAUAUAUGUAUAUAUAUAUAUUAAAUCGUUGAGAGUUCAUGAUGCACAUGUAAUGAAUCACUGAGAACCUAUUUACGAAUGGAUAUAACACUGAUUGAUGUUAAGACUCCUGAACAAGUAAACAUAAGAUCGAGCUCCUCUGAUAUGCAAAAAAAAAGGGUGUGGUGUAUGUAGAUUUGGAUUAGCUGGAGAUGGGAUGAUAAUUCAUGUUUAUUCAUGUUUUCCUAAUUAUAUCGAUGUCCAGCAUUUGUUGCGGACUAUCGAGUUUUAUUUAGGUUUAUCUGGAGUGUUUACGGGGGCAGUCGUUAGCCGAUGUAGUCGUUGAGAGCACCAAAUGUAAUAGCCUAAAUUUUCAGUGGUGUCGGAACAGUGAUUCGAGAUCACUAAAUCCGAAAAAUGAGUAGAAAAUAUUAAUAAUUUAGUGAAUAUAAGUUAAGUGUGAAGUUAGGAAAAUUUUUGAAAUAGCGAAUAAUGUACUAGAAAUAAAAAUUUUAAAAAUUAGAAUCGAAAAUGAGAUAUCGAGAGUUUGAAAAUUUUAAAAUGAGCCAUAAAUAUUUUUAUAAAUAUUUAUGGAGUGUUAAUAAGUUAGUAUUAAAGUUUCAUUAAGAAAUUUUAAAGUUUCGAUAGUUAAUUGAAUAAAAAGAAUUAAAUUGUAACAAAUGUAAAAUUAUGGGAAAUGAUUAAAUAGCUUAAAUGAUAAAAAAAAGAGGGUUUAAAAGGUAAAUAGACCCAAGGUCUAUUUGGGCUGGACGGCAAAGUGCAUGAAAUCAGCAGGAAAAUUGAUGAAUUAAAGGUAAAAUUGGAAUAUUGUAAAAUUUACUUAAUAAACUAGGACUAAAGUGGAAUUAUCUAGAAUUCUCAUUAUUUUUCUGCAUUCUCAACAGCAAAAACACCAUAGAAGGGUUUUAUUAAGCUGGUUUUUCAUAUUUUUACUGCAAGUAAGUUCAAUUCUUGAUUAUUUCUUGAAUUUUUUGUGUUUUUAUGACAUUUACAACUAGGUCCACUUGUUGAAUUCAUUAGUUUUUGAUUCUAUGAAAGAAAUUGGAAGUUGUUAUGAAUAUAUGUUGGAAGUAUAUGAUGAUUUAUCAUGGAAUUAGAGUUUUAAAUUGUUUAUAUGCUGAUUUUAUUGAAAGAAUUGAAUAGAAAGUGAAUGUUUGGGACCUAAUGGUGAAAGAGUUUGAAGUUAGGGUUUUAUGUGGAAAUUAUGAAUUUAAAUAAUUGUGAAAUAACUUAUAAUGUCUAGGUAAAGCAUUAAUUGGGAAAAAUUAGCUUCAUUGAGGGAUUAAAUGAGCAAGGACUGAAUUGUAUGAAUGUGAAAUUUGGGGCAAAAAACGAAAUCAACAUUUGCACUAAAACAGUUUUGGACAGCAGCAGUAGUCUAACUUUGAAAAAUCACCAUAAAUUUUAUAAAUCGAAUUAUAAAAUGAAAAAAAUAUGAAAUUAAAUCUUAUUGAGUCUAGUUUCUCAUAGAAGAAACGGUGUAAGCAACGGAAUUGUAGAUCAUGAGAUAUAAUAGAUUUUAUGAGACAAUGUCAGAAUGAUUUCGGGUUCCCAUGUUCUGAAUUUGGAAAAUCAUAAAAAAUUGGAUAAAAAUAAUUAGGGGCUUAAAUUUAUAUUUUAAAAUCCUUAAUGAGUCUAUUUUCAAUAAAAACAAACAUGGACAUCAUCCGAAUUCUGUACGAAGAGAUAAUUAAUUUUUAGUGAAGAAGGGUCAGAAUUGUCAGACAGCAGAACAGGGGUGAAUUUAAAGAAUAAACUGUACUUAUUGACUAAACAAAAAAUUAUAAAACUUUUAUGAUAAGAAGAUAUAUGAGUCUAGUUUCAGGAAAAAUUAGCGGAUCCUAAUUUGGAGUUCUGUAGCUAAAGAUAAAAAUAAUUUAGUGACUAUGGCACUGAUGGACAGCAUUGGAAUAUACAUAAGUAAAUAAUGAAAUUAUAGAUAAUAUUACUUAUAAGCGGGUUGAAGAUGAAGUCAAUACUGAUAAGUGAAUGAUUUUACAAUGAUAGAUCGAGAACCCGAAGCAAGUCGAGGAAAAUAAAAAGUAGCUGAUUAGUCCCUGAACUUUCACAAAUUUUACAAAUCGACCCAGGUAAGUUCAUAUGGUUGAAGUUUAAUGAUUAUAUGUUAAUUUUAUGAAUUAUAUAAUGUAAUAUGUAUGAUGAAAUAUAUUUAUUGAUAAAUAGAGAAUAAAAUAACAACACGAAAAUCGAAUAAUUGAUUAAAUUAAGUGGAAUGUCGGAUUUGAGUACUUUUGAUCAAUGACAAGUGAUAAGUGGUAGCCUCAGCUACACUUAUCUGAUCACUGAUAAGUGACAAGCGACAAGCGACAAGUGAUAAGUGGUAGCUUUAGCUACACUUAUCUGAUCAGUGACAAGUGAUAAGUGAUAAGUGGUAGUUUUAGCUACACUUAUCUGAUUGGUGACAAGUGAUAAAUGUGAUCAGUGUAAGACCGUGGUAGGACUAUGACUUCAAAAGGUGAUAAGUGAUCAUACGCAAGACCAUAGUUAUACUAUGGCAAAGUGAAAGAGAAGUACUCAAUUUUCCGUAACCAUUCCCUAAUUUGGUUAAAGAAUGAUAUGUGACAAAUGGGCCCAAAAGAAUUAAAGGAAAUGGAUAAAUGGUAGUAAGUUUAUACAAGGGAACUCACCAAUGGCUGUGGUUGACAGGUGAACUUAAUAAUUGUGUAUAUUGUAUAAGUGUAUAAAUAUUUGGUAAGAUUUAUGUUUUAUGCCUAUGAACUUACUAAGCUUCUAUAAGCUUACAUGAGUGUAAUCAAUGUCUCUUGUAGAUUGACGUGGAAGUAUACGGAGGAUCGGAUCAACACAGAGGAUCACACUAUCCAGAUUAUCUCCGGUAGCUUUUGUAAAUUUCUUUUUGAUUUAUAUGGCAUGUAUAAGGUUUGAUGAUUAUAUAAAUAUUAAGACUUGUUUAAGAAAUAUACAUUAAAGUAAAGAAUGAUGAAUAUGUUAAAUAGUAUAAUUAUAAUAGUAGUAUAAUUUGGUAUCAAAUUGAUUGAAAUGAAUUGGUUGUUUGGAUUGGUCUCGGUUUUAAAAUUUGCAGGGAAUGUUAGAUAUUUAUAAAGGGGUUAUAUUGAGCAAAAAAAAAAUUGGGAUUUUGCGAAAAAUUCCCUAUGGUUUCGAUUUAAUUCUGGUUUUGUCUCGAAGUAUGUUUUGGGCUCUGGAGGCCCAUCUAAAAGAUGCCAUGACAUGUUUUAGUAAAUGAAUAGUAUUUAACUCGUAUUAAUGGAAAAUUAAUUCAGUAAACUUCGAUAAUGCCUCCUACCCUAUUCUAGCGACGAAUACGAGUAAGGGGUGUUACAUUUAGUGGUAUCAGAGCCCAGUUUAGCCGGUUCUCGAAACAUGUGUUACGUGUAAAGUGUUUAGAAAUACAUGCCAUAUAAAUCUAUGAUAGUGUGAUGUGUAUGAUUCGAUCUAAUCUUUUUGUCAUUUUUAUAGAUAUUCUUCGAUUAUAAAGAUGUCAGAUAGACCUGAACGCAGUGAACAGCAGGAAGCUAUCAGUAGAGUGCAGACUUCUGAACAAGGAACAAGUAGUGAUAUUCUAAUUUUUAUGAUACGAGAGCGAAAACUUAAAAAUAUGAUUUAUGGAGUUAUGAAUCAGUGGUAUAAGGAGAUGAUACAAGAAAGAAGUCAGGCUCAACCACCUUCUCCCCCUACUGCACCACCUGUGGUACAUCCGGUUGCUCCUCCACCUCCUUCAAUAAUUGAAACUAGUAAACGUUCUCCGAUUGAAAAGCUGAGGAAGUUUGGAGCUGAGGAAUUUCGAGGGAGAUCAGAUGAUGAUCUUGUAAAAGCUGAGUAUUGGCUACAGAGUUUGGUAAGAAUUUUUAAACAGAUGGCUUGUUCUCCGAAGGAUUAUCUACGAUGUGCUGUCUCAUUGUUAAAAGAAGAAGCAUAUAACUGGUGGGAAACUGUGGAAGCUGUAGUACCUGCAGAGAAACUUACUUGGGAAUUUUUCCAGAACGAGUUUAAAAAGAAAUAUGUGGGGAAAAGAUAUCUAGACAAGAAAAAGAGAGAAUUUCUUGAUCUACGGCAGGGAAAUAAGUCAGUGGCUGAAUACGAAAGAGAAUUUGUCUACCUCAGCAAAUAUGCUCGAGACAUUGUACCUACUGAAAAAGAAAUGUGUAUCAGAUUUGAAGAAGGGUUAAAUGAUAAGAUUAGAAUGAUGAUUGGGGGUAAUGAAAUACGGGAGUUCGUUGUUCUGUCAGACCGUGCUCAAAAGCUCGAAGAAGUAUAUAACAGAAAAAUGCAACGAGAUCAGAAAAAUAAAGAGCCAUUUAAAAGAGGUGCUUCUAAGUCAUUUUCAGAUUUGCCGGUAAAGAAAUCUAGAGAAGAAAUUAGUCGAACUACAUCCGUGCCAGGAAGAUUGGUUAGAGGUAGAUCAAGACAAUCUGAUUUCAGGGUAUUUGAUCGACCUGCAGCAAGUGUGAGCAGUGUUCAGAAUACUCCCUAGCCUAAGUGUCAAUAUUGUGGAAGACAUCAUUUCGGUGAAUGCAGGACUAAGAUGGGGGUUUGUUAUAAAUGUGGGGCUACUGAUCAUCUUAUUCGAGAUUGUCCCCAGCUGCAAAAAGAUGAAGUGGAUUAGAAAAAGAUACAGAGAACCACUCCACAAAUAAGUAGACGUUCGGGCCAGAGCAGUGCUACAGGGGCUACCCGUUCGGGUGUGAGAGAACCAGUUAGUCAAUCAGAGAAUAGAGCACCAGCACGUACCUAUGCCAUUCGAGCAAGGGAAGAGGCUACGGCUUCUGAUGUAAUUGCUGGUAUUUUCUAUCUUUAUGAUGUUACUGUUUAUGCAUUAAUAGACCCUGGGUCUACUCAUUCAUAUAUUUGCAAUAUGCUAGCAUCUAAAAAGAAAUUAUCUGUUGAGUCCACUAAUUAUGAUAUACAAGUCACUAAUCCAUUAGGUCAAAGUGUGAUGGUUAAUUUAAUAUGUCGUAAUUGUCCACUAAAAGUGAAAGGCUGUGAAUUCCCUGUUGAUUUGAUGUUGUUACCCUUUCAGGAAUUUGAUAUUAUUCUAGGGAUGGAUUGGUUAACAAAACAUGACGCUGUAGUGAACUGUCGAGAGAAACGGAUUGAUUUGAAAAAUCAGACAUGAGAAAUGAUUUCGGCUGAGUUUGGAAAUAUGAAAGAUAAUGUUCGAAUUAUUUCAGCCUUUUCAGCUCAUAAGCUAAUACGGAAGGGUAAUGAAGCAUAUUUAGCUUAUAUUCUUGAUACUCGGGAUUCUGAAUCAAAGUUGAAACAGUUGCCAGUUGUUAAUGAAUUUGCUGAUGUGUUUCUUGAGGAAUUGCCGGGUUUACCACCAGAUCGCGAAGUUGAGUUUGUGAUUGAUGUGAUCCCGGGAACAGCUCCAAUAUCCGUAACACCAUAAAGAAUGGCACCGACUGAAUUAAAAGAGUUAAAGACUCAGUUGCAAGAAUUGUUAGAUAAGGGGUUUAUUAGACCGAGUACAUCUCCUUAGGGUGCACCUGUUUUGUUUGUGAAAAAGAAAGAUGGUUCGUUGAGAUUAUGUAUAGAUUACAGACAAUUAAAUAUGGUUACAAUCAAGAACAAAUAUCCUUUGCCCCACAUUGAUGAUUUGUUCGAUCAAUUGAAAGGUGCUGCUAUGUUUUCAAAAAUAGAUCUUCGAUUUGGGUAUUAUCAGCUGAAAGUUACAGAAUGUGACAUGCCAAAAAUUGCCUUCAGAACUCGGUAUGGUCAUUAUGAGUUUUUGGUAAUGCCAUUUGGUUUAACUAAUGCUCCUGCUGCAUUUAUAGACUUGAUGUCAGAUUUUUCAACCUUAUUUGGAUAGAUUCGUGGUUGUAUUUAUUGAUGAUAUACUGAUCUAUUCGAAGACCGAGCCUGAUCAUGCACAACACUUGAGAAGUGUGUUACAGACUUUGAGAGAGAAGCAGUUGUAUGCAAAGUUCAGCAAGUGUGAAUUUUGGCUACAUGAGGUUGGAUUUCUAGGUCAUAUUGUUUCAGCUGAAGGAAUUCGAGUAGAUCCAAGUAAAGUGUCAGCAGUGGUGAAUUGGAAAACUCUAAAGAACGUAACAGAAGUGCGAAGUUUCCUGGGAUUAGCAGGAUACUACCGCCGAUUUGUUAAAAAUUUUCAAUGAUUGCCUUGCCAAUGACUCGACUACUUCAGAAGAAUGUUGAAUUUGUAUGGUUUGAAGAGUGCCAAGAAAGUUUUGACCAGUUGAAGAAGAUGUUGACAGAAGCUCCAGUGUUAACUUAGCCAGAAUCAGGUAUACCAUAUGUUGUGUAUAGUGAUGCAUCUUUAAAUGGUUUGGGUUGUGUUUUAAUGCAAUCAGGGAAAGUAGUGGCAUAUGCUUCUCGACAAUUAAAAUCGCACGAGAAAAAUUACCCUACCCAUGAUUUGGAGUUGGCCGCAAUUGUGUUUGCUUUAAAAAUCUGGAGACAUUAUUUAUAUGGGGAAAAUGUUAUGUGUAUACCGAUCACAAAAGUCUGAAAUAUUUGAUGACACAGAAAGAGCUGAACUUGAGAUAGAGACGGUGGCUCGAACUAUUGAAAGAUUAUGAUCUUGUUAUUGAUUAUCACCUGGGGAAAGCUAAUGUGGUCGCUGAUGCACUUAGCCAAAAAUCAUCAUUGUUUGCACUUCGAGCAAUGAAUCUUCAUUUGUCUGUUAAUGAAGAUGGCUCAGUAUUAGCAGAAUUGAAAGCAAAAUCUACAUUCCUUCAACGGAUCCGUGAAUUACAGAGUGAUUAUCCGAAACUAGUGCUGAAACGACAAAUAGUUCAGGAUAAUUUGAGUUCAGAAUAUAGCGUUGAUGAUGGUGGUAUGUUGCGUUAUCGUAAUAGAAUUUGUGUUCCGAAAAAAUCCAGAAUUGAAAAAUGAUAUUCUUGCUGAAGCUUAUAAUAGUAAGUAUUCUAUUCAUCCGGGUAGUACAAAAAUGUAUUGCGAUUUAAAAAGAAUGUACUGGUGGCCUGGUAUAAAGCGAGAGAUGUGUGAAUUUGUUGUAAAAUGUUUAAUCUGUCAGUAGGUGAAAGCAGAGCAUCAAGUACCAACGGGUUUAUUACAACCUAUUAUGAUUCUUGAACGGAAGUGGGAACACAUUACGAUGGAUUUUGUAUCAGGAUUGCCUGUGACUCUGAAAAAGAAAGAUUCAAUCUGGGUUAUCGUUGAUAGAUUAACAAAGUCGGCACAUUUUAUUCCAGUCAGAUCAAAUUUUUCAUUGGAGAAGUUAGCAGAAUUGUACAUUUCUGAGAUUGUGAGAUUACAUGGAGUUCCAAUAUCUAUUAUUUCGGAUCGAGAUCCGAGAUUUACUUCGAGAUUUUGGAGUAAAUUAUAGGAGGCUUUGGGCACUAAAUUAAAUUUCAGCACAGCUUUUCAUCCUCAGACAGACGGGCAGUCGGAGCGAGUGAUUCAGAUUUUAGAAGAUAUGUUAAGGUGUUGUGUACUUGAGUUUGGCGGCAGCUGGGAAAGGUACUUUCCUUUAGUCGAAUUUGCUUAUAAUAAUAGUUAUCAAACUAGUAUUAAAAUGGCACCAUUUGAAGCUCUGUAUAGAAGAAAGUGUAAAACUCCAUUAUAUUGGUCUGAAUUAAGUGAACAGAAACUAAUGGGAGUGGACUUGAUUCGGGAAACCGAAGAAAAAGUUCGUAUUAUUCGAGAUUGUUUAAAAGCUGCCUCCGAUCGGCAAAAAUCAUAUGCAAAUUUAAAGAGAAGAGAUAUAGAGUUUAAUGUGGGUGAUCGUGUAUUCUUGAAAGUGUUACCGUGGAAGAAAGUUUUGCGGUUCGGUAGAAAGGAAAAACUCAGCCCACGAUUUAUCGGGCCGUAUAAAAUCAUUGAAAGAAUCGGUCCGGUAGCUUAUAGAUUGGCUUUGCCCCCGGAGCUUGAAAAAAUUCAUAACGUGUUUCAUGUGUCUAUAUUGAGACGUUACAGAUCAAAUCCAUCACAUGUAAUCCCUUAUACAGAAAUAGAGCUCCAACCCGACAUGACUUAUUCAGAAGAACCGGUGAAAAUUCUAGCUUGGGAAAUUAAAGAGUUAAGGAACAAACGGGUACCGUUAGUAAAAGUGUUGUGGCAUAGACAUGGUGUGGAGGAGGCAACCUGGGAAACAGAAGAAUCAAUGAGAUCACAAUAUUCGAACCUAUUUUCAGGUAACAAAUUUCGAGGACGAAAUUUCUUAAAAGGGGGAGAAUUGUAAUAGCCUAAAUUUUCAGUGGUGUCGGAACAGUGAUUCGAGAUCACUAAAUCCGACAAAUGAGUAGAAAAUAUUAAUAAUUUAGUGAAUAUAAGUUAAGUGUGAAGUUAGGAAAAUUUUUGAAAUAGCGAAUAGUGUACUAGAAAUAAAAAUUUUAAAAAUUAGAAUCGAAAAUGAGAUAUCGAGAGUUUGAAAAUUUUAAAACGAGCCAUAAAUAUUUUUAUAAAUAUUUAUGGAGUGUUAAUAAGUUAGUAUUAAAGUUUCAUUAAGAAAUUUUAAAGUUUCGAUAGUUAAUUGAAUAAAAAGGAUUAAAUUGUAACAAAUGUAAAAUUAUGGGAAAUGAUUAAAUAGCUUAAAUAAUAAAAGAAAGAGGGUUUAAAAGGCAAAUGGACCCAAGGUCUAUUUGGGCUGGACGGCAAGGUGCAUGAAAUCAGCAGGAAAAUUGAUGAAUUAAGGGCAAAAUUGGAAUAUUACAAAAUUUACUUAAUAAACUAGGACUUAAGUGGAAUUAUCUAGAAUUCUCAUUAUUUUUCUGCAUUCUCAUCAGAAAAACACCAUAGAAGGGUUUUCUUAAGCUGGGUUUUUAUAUUUUUACUGCAAUUAAGUUGAAUUCUUGAUUAUUUCUUGAAAUUUUUGUGUUUUUAUGACAUUUACAACUAGGUCCACUUGUUGAAUUCAUUAGUUUUUGAUUCUAUGAAAGAAAUUGGAAGUUGUUAUGAAUAUGUGUUGGAAUUAUAUCAUGAUUUAGCAUGGAAUUAGAGUUUAAAUUGUUUAUAUGCUGAUUUUAUUGAAAGAAUUGAAUAGAAAGUGAAUGUUUGGGACCUAAUGGUAAAAGAGUUUGAAGUUAGGGUUUUAUGUGGAAAUUAUGAAUUUAAAUAAUUGUGAAAUAACUUAUAAUGUCUAGUUAAAGCAUUAAUUUGGAAAAAUUAGCUUCAUUGACGGAUUAAUUGAGCAAGGACUGAAUUGUAUGAACUAUGAAAUUUGGGGCAAAAAACGAAAUCAACAUUUGCACUAAAACAGUUUUGGACAGCAGUAGUAGUCUAACUUUGAAAAAUCACCAUAAAUUUUAGAAAUCUAAUUAUAAAAUGAAAAGAAUAUGAAAUUAAAUCUUAUUGAGUCUAGUUUCUCAUAGAAGAAACGGUGUAAGUAACGGAAUUGUAGAUCAUGAGAUAUAAUAGAUUUUGUGAGACAAUGUCAGAAUGAUUUCGGGUUCCCUUGUUCUGACUUUGGAAAAUCAUAAAAAAUUGGAGAAAAAUAAUUAUGGGCUUAAAUUUAUAUUUUUAAAAUCCUUAAUGAGUCUAUUUUCAAUAAAAACAAACAUGGACAUCAUCCGAAUUCUGUAUGAAGAGAUAAUUAAUUUUUAGUGAAGAAGGGUCAGAAUUGUCAGAUAGCAGAACAGGGGUGAAUUUAAAGAAUAAACUGUACUUAUUGGCUAAACAAAAAAUUCUAAAAAUUUUAUGAUAAGAAUAUAUAUGAGUCUAGUUUCAUGGAAAAUUAGCGGAUCCUAAUUUGGAGUUCUGUAACUAAAGAUAAAAAUAAUUUAGUGACUAUGGCACUGAUGGACAGCAUUGGAAUAUACAUAAGUAAAUAAUGAAAUUAUAGAUAAUAUUACUUAUAAGCGGGUUGAAGAUGAAGUCAAUACUGAUAAGUGAAUGAUUUUACAAUGAUAGAUCGAGAACCCGAAGCAAGUCGAGGAAAAUAAAAAGUAGCUGAUUAGUCUCUAAACUUUCACAAAUUUUGCAAAUCGACCUAGGUAUGUUCAUAUGGUUGAAGUUUAAUGAUUAUAUGUUAAUUUUAUGAAUUAUAUAAUGCAAUAUGUAUGAUGAAAUAUAUUUAUUGAUAAAUAGAGAAUAAAACAACAACACAAAAAUCGAAUAAAUGAUUAAAUUGAGCGGAAUGUCGGAUUUGAGUACUUCUGAUCAAUGACAAGUGAUAAGUGGUAGUCUCAGCUACACUUAUCUGAUCAGUGAUAAGUGACAAGCGACAAGCGACAAGUGAUAAGUGGUAGCUUUAGCUACACUUAUCUGAUCAGUGACAAGUGAUAAGUGAUAAGUGGUAGUUUUAGCUACACUUAUCUGAUCAGUGACAAGUGAUAAAUGUGAUCAGUGUAAGACCAUGGCAGGACUAUGACUUCAAAAGGUGAUAAGUGAUCAUACGCAAGACCAUAGUUAUACUAUGGCAAAGUGAAAGUGAAGUACUCAAUUUUCCAUAACCAUUCCCUAAUUUGGUUAAAGAAUGAUAUGUGACAAAUGGGCCUAAAAGAAUUAAAGGAAAUAGAUAAGUGGUAGUAAGUUUAUACAAGGGAACUCACCAAUGGCUGUGGUUGAUAGGUGAACUUAAUAAUUGUGUAUAUUGUAUAAGUGUAUAAAUAUUUGGUAAGAUUUAUGUUUUAUGCCUAUGAACUUACUAAGCUUCUAUAAGCUUACAUGAGUGUAAUCAAUGUCUCUUGUAGAUUGACGUGGAAGUAUACGGAGGAUCGGAUCAACACAAAGGAUCACACUAUCCAGAUUAUCUCCGGUAGCUUUUGUAAAUUUCUUUUUGAUUUAUAUGGCAUGUAUAAGGUUUGAUGAUUAUAUAAAUACUAAGACUUGUUUAAGAAAUAUACAUUAAAGUAAAGAAUGAUGAAUAUGUUAAAUAGUAUAAUUAUAAUAGUAGUAUAAUUUGGUAUCAAAUUGAUUGAAAUGAAUUGGUUGGUUGGAUUGGUCUCGGUUUUAAAAUUUGCAGGGAAAGUUAGAUAUUUAUAAAGGGGUUAUAUUUAGCAAAAAAAAAAUUGGGAUUUUGCGAAAAAUUCCCUAUGGUUUCGAUUUAAUUCUGGUUUGGUCUCGAAGUAUGUUUUGGGCUCUGGAGGCCCAUCUAAAGGAUGCCAUGACAUGUUUUAGUAAAUGAAUAGUAUUUAACUCGUAUUAAUGGAAAAUUAAUUCAGUAAACUCCGGUAAUGCUUCCUACCCUAUUCUAGCGACGAAUACGGGUAAGGGGUGUUACACCAAAUAUAUCUUAUCUCCUACAAAAUAAUGAAAAAGAACAGUAAAGAGGAAGUAGGGUCGAAUCCUCAAGGACCGGAUUGCACGAAUGCUUGUUUCUCGAAAUCCUGGGCAAAAUCGUGCCCAAGAAACCUGCGUUCCUAAAAAAAGUAAAAAAAAAAGAUUUUUAAAGUUUUGAUCUGAGAGUGAAAUAAAAUAAAAAUGAAAUUAAAAGUUGAAUUGAAAUUUUAGAAAUUAAAAGUAAAAAUAAAGUUGAGAAGAAGAUUUCUUAUGGUGGAUUUCUAGCCUUCGGUUGUCUCGAUUCGCCUUGGAUUCAAUCAAUGGCUUUUAAGUGACCCUUCUCAAGCAGAGUAAGCCAGUUAUAGUGGAAGAGGACACCUACGACCACCAGCUCCAAGAAUUUAGACUUAAGAUUUGGCGGAACCUGACUCUAGCCAAUAAUUGCUUUUGUGGGACUAUCUUCUGCUAGAUCAUCACUUCCCAAUGGCGAAUACCACGCCAUUUUGUCUCUUGAACUCGUCAACCUCUGACAUAGAAAGCCAACGAACUGACUGUGCAACCUUCCCCAAACGUACAAAGCAGUCGUUCAUUGCAUAAGUUGAAAAGAUCACCUAUUAUCAUUAGCCUUCAUGCUAGGUACUUAGUGCCGAGACGUAUUAUUGGUUGGAUUACUCCUAUGAGCGUUUAGCGUGAUUCGGAUGUGUGGACGGAAAUUUAAAUGUUGGAGUUUAGCAGGGAGUUUAUUCAUUAACUUAUUUUUUGAGUUAAUUGUUAUUCUAGUAAGAUUUAAUUUAUAGUAAUGAACUUACUAAGCUUCAUAAAGCUUACUUGUGUAUUUGAUCUCUUGUAGAUACCGUUUUUAUGGAUAAUCAAGCGAUCGGAUCAUCUUAAAGACUCAUACUAUCUCGAGAACUCUUUGGUAGAUUUUGUGAUCAUUUUGGCUUAUAUGACAUGUAAUAAGGCCAUGUACAUGUUGAAGUUGCUUCUUAAUCAUGUGUGAUAUUUUGUUGUGCUUGAUGUUAUGAAAUGGUAAAAAUCAUAUUGAAUAAUGGUAAUUUGGUAUGGUUGCUAUGUGAAUGAUGAUUUGUAGGUGUAAUAUAUAUGAUAGUGGUUUGGAAUGGAUAACACUUUGUGACUUCAAGAAUGACACUUUGUUUGGGUAUUGGGUGAUUAAAUUUGGUAUGUUUUGGUUGCUUUUAUUUGUGGGCACUUCGUUGUGAACAUGCUAAAUGAAUUGGUUUGGGUACCUAUGCAUAGAGUUGAAAAUCAAGCUUGAAAUUGGUCUUUUUUUUGGUACACACGACCUGGGACAUGGGCUGUCACAUGGCCAUGUGAUGCACACGGGCAAGCCACGCGGGUGUGUGCCCAAGGCAAGUUGAAAAGCAGUAUAAGUGCAGUUCUCACACGACAUGCGACACAGCCAUGUAAUCCAAAUCAGAGAGUUACACGGUCCAUACACACAGGCGUGUGAGAGGUUGUACAUGAGCAUGUGGGAUGGCUACUCGGCCAUGUCUGAAGGCACUCAGUCUAAGCUCUGUCACAUUGCCUAGACACACAGCUGUGUAACCCCUGUUUGAGAAAUUUUCACUUUUGUCCCAAAUUUUCUGUAUUUUCUCGAAUUGGUCCCUAAUUGUUUCUAAACUAUUUUUAAGGUCUCAGAAGCUCGAUUAAGAUCCAUAAAUGUGUGCUUGGUGUGUUUAAAACUAUAGGUUUUGAAAAACUAUAAUUGCAAAAACAGUAUGUGACAUCAUGAUGUCAACCAUUUCUCGUCGCGACGAGGGUUGGACUCCAAGCUACAAUGCGACUAUAAACCUCGUCGGGAAGCUAGUAUGUCACAUUGCGACAAGAAACUAUCUCACGUCAUGGCGUCAACCCUAUAAUUUGAAUUAUUCAGAAUUCAAUCCCAAUUUGAUCUCGGAUUAGCUUAUGAGCUUUUGUAAGCUUGUAUAAUACCCGGAAAUGUUUAUUUAUCAUGUUGUUUACUUAUAAUGUUAAUAUUGAAUGUUAAAAUGGAUUGAAAUUGUGUCUAUUUUGAUCGUAGUUGCUUCGGCAACGAAUGCGAUACACUAUAACUCAGACUCAGUGAUCAAGUCGGGUAUAGGGUGUUACACCUACAUAACUUUACCUCGUUAUGUAAAAAUGUAAUACUUUUAGUCACGUCAUGUUAUCACCUAAAAAGUUUUUUACAAAAAAAUAUAAUUUUUAAAUGAUUAUAUGACACAAUAUUAAAGUGCUACGACAUCACAUAGAUCUAAAUUGAAAAUUUUACUAAAUUUCAAAACUAAUGUGAAGAAAGAAAUGAAUGAUCAAAUUAUAAAAAAAAAAAAAACUUUUAUCCAAAAGCAAAAGCAAUAGCAAUUUCAACUUGGAUUAAUUAGGUGAUAGAGCCUGUUUUAAAAUUCCACUUGGAUUAAUUAUUUGCCAAAUUAAUGAGGUAUGUGUUUUAAUUUCAAAAGAUUAAACAUUAUCAUUUUUUGUAAAACAUUAUUUUAAAAUUUUAAAAACAAAUGUUUUAAUUUUACUUAUAAAAUUAAAAACAAAACACUUUUAAUAUCUAUAUUAUAUAUAAAAAUUUAAUUAAGUUUAUGUCAUUUAUAAUUGAUUCUCAAUUAAAUUAUUAAAUUAUCAAUAUUUUAAUAAAAUAUAAAUGGUAAUUGAAGGUUAUUUUUAUCCUUUGAACACAAUAAAAUUUGAAAUCAACACAUCAAGUCAAUUCAGCCAACAUAGUAGGUGUGUCAUGUGAGUCAUAUUUUAAUGUUAAAUAAUAAUUUUAUUUUUUAAAGAAAAAAAAAAGACUAGGCUCGUGGCAUGACUUUUAUUAUGUUUUUCUUUUCUACAAAAAGUUUCUCCCACUUUCGACAUUCUAUUCAUAUAAAAAUAACGAUAAUAGGAUAUUAAAGUCAUUUUUAAUUAAAAUAAAUUUAUUAUUUUAUUCUUCCUAAUUCCUAUGGUUUCCAAUUGAAUUAUAAUAUCAAAUAUUUAAAUAAUUUAACAUGAAAUAAUUAGACACCAAAAAAGAAUGAUGUCAAGUGGCUCGAUGCUAUAACGAUUCAUUAUCUAUUGUUAUUCAACUAAUCCUUGUACUAACUAGGGUGGAGUUGGCAAUGGAGAUAUAAAAUAGCUCCAUGGACCCAACCGAUCACCCGAAUCAUCUCAGAUCAUUCCAUUAACUUAGAAAUAUCUCUAAGCCAAUCUAGUGUUGUAUCCUCCCCACACAAUUUUAUAACCCAUUUCAAGAGCUGCAAAGUAGCAUCCAAAACUUCAACAAGCUUAAUGUCCAAAACACAAAAUUUGAAAGAAACACUAUGAGAAUAUAUAAGACAGCUCCACAUAAUGACCUUAGAAGUCAAGUACUCUAAACCUUAAACUCUAUAACUUUUAAAACCAUGCUUUGCUAUAUAUCUCACUCUCUCUAAACCAAUACCAAUUUUAGCAUAGGAGGUUCCUCAAAUUACAAACUCUAAUGCCUCUAACCCAUUUUCUCAUUUUGCAAAACAAUUAAAACAUUAACACGAUUUAUCGUCACAAACCGACUUUAACAUGGACAUUUCCAAGGUAUAGUGCAUGAGGAAAUUGAAUAUUAAAUAUUUCGUUCAUUUUGAAGUGUAUCUAUCAAUAACUAAUUGACGAAUAUGAUAUGAUUUUUACAAAUAUUGGUUGUUUGUGCCAUUAUGGCAAAUUUAUACCCGCUAGUAAUUGUUGGAUGCAAUAGUAAAAUACAUUGCACUCUCAAGGAGAGAACAAAAGUUAAAACCUUAAAAAUAGAAUUAUUGGUAGGGACAACCACGAAUCAUUAACAUGGAUCGAAAAACAUAUAUGAAAGAUACAAAAAAUAUAUAUCCAUAGUGAUUAUAAAAUAGAAUAGGCUUGCAAAACUUUACCUCGUUACGUAAAAUCUAAUAUAAUACUAAUGAUAAUGAAAAAAGCAAAAGAGAGAAGGUAACAUUUAGUCAUUGAACUAAGGUUUUCUUAACUUGGUUCAUCAAUUUUUUUAAUUUAUAUUAGUACUUAAAUUUAACAAUUUUUCUUAAUUUUGAUCCAUAUAAUAAUAUGAUACUUUUAGUUGAAUCAUGUUAUCACCUAAAUAUUUUUGCAAAAUAGAUGAUAACAUGAUACAAUAUAAGUACUAUAUCCUCAAAUUUAUCUAAACUGGAAUGGAAAAAGAUUCUAAAAGCAAUGUGAACAAAAGAAAUUUAAAGAUUAAAUUUAAGAAAGUUACCUUUUAUCCAAAAGCAAAAGCAACACGUCAUUGACUAAGGAGUCCCCUUUUAUUUAUCAUGAUGAUUACUUAUAAUGUUCAUAUUGAAUGUUAAAAUCGAUUGAAAUUAUGUCUAUUUUAAUUGUAAUUAAUUCGAUAAUAAAUGUAAUAUAUUAUAGUUUAAAUUUAGUAAUCGAGUCAAGUAUAAAGUGUUACACCUAUAUAACUAUUCAUAAUAAAUAAAUUACGUAAUGUAAUUAUUAUAUUAAUAUAGUAUGUGUCAUUAAAGUCAUAUUUUAAUACUAAAUAAUAAUUUUAUUUUUCAAAUAAUAAUAAUAAUAAGACUAUGCUCGUUGCAUGACUUUUCUGCAAAAAGAUUCUCCCACUUUCGAUAUUCUACUCAUAUAAUAACAAUAACAGUAAUAGGAAAUUAAUUCAAAAUUGGCGGAUAUGCGGUAGUCAAUUUUUAUCAAAAAGUUCACUUUUAAGACUCCUUUUUUCCAACAAUGUUUAAAUUUAUUAUUUUAUUCUUCCAAAUUCCUAUGGUUUCCAAUUGUAUUAUAAUAUCAAACAUUUAAAUAAUUUAAUAUAAUUUAACAUAAAGUAUUUUACAAUUUUAAAUAUAAUGCUACGUGAUAUUUUAAAUUAUUAAUAUAUGAAUUUUAAAUAAUUUUUUCAAUAAUUAAUAUAAUUAACAAUUUUGAUAUUUUCACUUGCAAAAAUUAAUUAGUCAUAUACUAAAAAUACUUAAAUCCUAAUUAUUAUUUUUUAGUAGAAAAGUAUUUUAAUUACAAUUUGGUAUUUUUUUUCUAUGAAAAGUAUUUUUAGUAUCUUUUAGGAUUGUAAUAUUUUGAUUACCGAAUAUCAAAUAGUUAUAAUAUAAUCAUUAACAUUAUCGAUUUGUUACAUUUUGAUCGCUGAGUCAUUAAUUAUUUUUAAUGAUUUAACGACAAGCUGAUUUAACAUACGAUAUGAUCACUAAUAUUAUCAAUUUAUUACAUUUUAGUUAUUAAACCAUUAAUUGCCAUAAAAAUAUAAUGAAAAGCUAAUGUCACAUUUUAUAUCAUUAUUUCAUAUAAAAAUUUUAGUAGAGACUGCACAACUUCUAUUUGUGCAAUUACCCUAAAAUUUAUUCAACCUGACAACAAACUUCUCAUCCAACCAGAAAAAGCUUCCCUAAGGCAAGAAAAGCACCAAGUUUUUAUCUUUAAAUAGCAAAGCCCUUGACGUUUAAAGCAUAAGCACAAGAGUGAAAAAAGCCAUCGAGAGAGAUACUUUGUUUGUGAAAAUGACAUUGCCAAGGUUCAUCGUUCUCAAAGCCCCCGAUGCCGAAAACUACCUCUGCUACAGACCCCGCAAUGGCACCUACAGGGGCUACGCCGAGUUCACCGAAACGACGGUUGUGAGCGCAAAUGCGAAAUUCGAAGUGGAGUUCGCUAAAAAUGGGCUGGUGCACAUAAGGAGCUGUACCAUAAACAAAUAUUUGAAAGGAAUUCAUAAACCUUCCAGCACCGGAAGUCCAAAUGAGGAGUAUUGGAUUACUAUAACCGCCGAUAAGCCGGAAGAAGACCGAUCCAAGGAGUCAUGCACAUUGUUCAAGCCUAUCGACUCUUUAGAUGGAAAAUAUCGAUUUGUCCAUGUUCAAUCUGGAAACUAUAUAUGCUUAUGGCCAUUGGCUACAUCGGAC
RNAcentral lists this long non-coding RNA (24593 nucleotides) under Gossypium barbadense (sea-island cotton). RNAcentral describes it as "long non-coding RNA (GBAR_LNC001050)". Lineage: Eukaryota; Viridiplantae; Streptophyta; Magnoliopsida; Malvales; Malvaceae. The record is from RNAcentral.